RNAcentral lists this ribosomal RNA (545 nucleotides) under Saccharomycodes ludwigii. RNAcentral describes it as "eukaryotic LSU rRNA". It matches the Rfam family "Eukaryotic large subunit ribosomal RNA", at positions 86 to 642 of the family's 3401-position model. The record is from RNAcentral. Lineage: Eukaryota; Fungi; Ascomycota; Saccharomycetes; Saccharomycodales; Saccharomycodaceae.
ACGGCGAGUGAAGCGGCAAAAGCUCAAAUUUGAAAUCUGGCAUCUUUGAUGUCCGAGUUGUAAUUUGAAGAGGUUACUUUGGAGGCUGGCUCUUGUCUAUGUUCCUUGGAACAGGACGUCAUGGAGGGUGAGAAUCCCGUCUGGCGAGAGUUUCAGUUUUCAUGUAAAGUAGCAUUCGACGAGUCGAGUUGUUUGGGAAUGCAGCUCUAAGUGGGUGGUAAAUUCCAUCUAAAGCUAAAUAUUGGCGAGAGACCGAUAGCGAACAAGUACAGUGAUGGAAAGAUGAAAAGAACUUUGAAAAGAGAGUGAAAAAGUACGUGAAAUUGUUGAAAGGGAAGGGCAUUUGAUCAGACAUGGUGUUUCGUGCUUCUUGCUCCUUGUGGGCGGGGAGACUCACACGGUUCACUGGGCCAACAUCAGUUUUGGCAGCAGGAUAAAACUUUGGGAACGUAGCUUUCUUCGGGAAGUGUUAUAGCCCUUGGCAAUACUGCUAGCCGGGAUUGAGGACUGCGCAUUUAUGCAAGGAUGUUGGCUUAAUGGUUAAA